Xenia sp. Carnegie-2017 is the source of this 179-nucleotide long non-coding RNA. RefSeq lists it as uncharacterized. The record is from RefSeq and is a predicted model, not a curated record. The transcript is spliced from 3 exons. NCBI's taxonomy places the organism in Eukaryota, Metazoa, Cnidaria, Anthozoa, Malacalcyonacea, Xeniidae.
ACGAAAGUUGCCCAAAGACAAAACGUUUGUCUAUGUUCAUACCGCUGAAUGCUGUGAAACCAGAUGAUAGCGGAUAUCGCAAGGAAUUGUUUAGAUUUACAUGCUUUAACUCUUGUGUUGGAGGAAUGAACAGACGACCAACACAUUUAUCCUUUCGACUGGAAUGUGGUUCUAGGGUU